CGGGUGAGUAACGCGUGGGCAACCUGCCCCGCACUGGGGGACAACAGCCGGAAACGGUUGCUAAUACCGCAUAUGCGCACAGCUUUGCAUGAAGCAGUGCGGAAAACUCCGGUGGUGCGGGAUGGGCCCGCGUCUGAUUAGCUGGUUGGCGGGGCAACGGCCCACCAAGGCGACGAUCAGUAGCCGGCCUGAGAGGGUGGACGGCCACAUUGGGACUGAGACACGGCCCAGACUCCUACGGAAGGCAGCAG
This 251-nucleotide ribosomal RNA is filed under the name uncultured bacterium. RNAcentral describes it as "partial 16S ribosomal RNA". It matches the Rfam family "Bacterial small subunit ribosomal RNA", at positions 103 to 354 of the family's 1533-position model. The record is from RNAcentral.